GCUGGAGAAGGGCAGCUGAGGACCAGAAACUGGGGACUUAGGGAGUGGGUGGCUGGUAUAACUCUGCCAAGUGAGAGGCUGGGUAUAUAGGGAAGACACUGGAGCUGCCAUUGGUGCUGAGGAGUCUGCUACACAGAAAGCAACAGACAGCAACAUCUGCAGAGUGGAUCUCUUGGAGAUGACAUCAGGAGCUUGUGGCUUAUGUGGACGCUCACUGGAUUUGGAAUGCAGACCAAAUCUUUAAAGAUGUGUCCAGAUGCCACUGCACACCAUGCUGGAAGGACGAAGGGGAGACCAGAACCGGUGAGGUCUGCAGAAUCCUGGACUGGCUGGGAG
Non-coding RNA from Rattus norvegicus (Norway rat), 336 nucleotides. The record is from RefSeq and is a predicted model, not a curated record. NCBI's taxonomy places the organism in Eukaryota, Metazoa, Chordata, Mammalia, Rodentia, Muridae.